This 460-nucleotide ribosomal RNA is filed under the name uncultured bacterium. RNAcentral's name for it is "partial 16S ribosomal RNA". It matches the Rfam family "Bacterial small subunit ribosomal RNA", at positions 338 to 795 of the family's 1533-position model. The record is from RNAcentral.
CCUACGGGAGGCAGCAGUGAGGAAUAUUGGUCAAUGGACGAGAGUCUGAACCAGCCAAGUCGCGUGAAGGAUGACUGCCCUAUGGGUUGUAAACUUCUUUUAUAAGGGAAUAAAACGAGCCACGUGUGCCUUUUAGCAUGUACCUUAUGAAUAAGGAUCGGCUAACUCCGUGCCAGCAGCCGCGGUAAUACGGAGGAUCCGAGCGUUAUCCGGAUUUAUUGGGUUUAAAGGGAGCGUAGAUGGGUUGUUAAGUCAGUUGUGAAAGUUUGCGGCUCAACCGCAAGAUGGCCUUUGAUACUGGCAGGCUCGAGUACGGUUGAGGUAGGCGGAAUUCGUGGUGUAGCGGUGAAAUGCUUAGAUAUCACGAAGAACCCCGAUUGCGAAGGCAGCACACUGGACUGACACUGACGCUGAGGCACGAAAGUGUGGGUAUCGAACAGGAUUAGAUACCCUAGUAGUC